Molecule: non-coding RNA, 216 nt
Organism: Desulfobacterales bacterium S5133MH4
Lineage: Bacteria; Pseudomonadati; Thermodesulfobacteriota; Desulfobacteria; Desulfobacterales
Source: Rfam
CCAAUCCCACCCGGCAAAGCCUAGCCAGCAGCCGGAAGCGAGUCUUGCGUGGUAGAGAGGUAACUCUCUGUGGCGAAGCGUAGACAGCGAGUACGCAGGCCGUGUGAUAGAGCCCCGAAAUCCCCAACGCGAAAGCCGGCGUCUUGACAACAGCGGAAGGCAGUAUCCAAAUACCGUAAUGGCCAGGUGGCAGGAUUUCACCGGGGUCUGAGAACU